This 366-nucleotide long non-coding RNA is filed under the name Daucus carota (carrot). RNAcentral's name for it is "long non-coding RNA (DCAR_LNC007372)". The record is from RNAcentral. Lineage: Eukaryota; Viridiplantae; Streptophyta; Magnoliopsida; Apiales; Apiaceae.
CCUCCGGCGUGAUAAUCAGUGAUUUGGAUGUGCUUGACAAGUAAGGGAAAUCAGAGAGUUUUCACUCUAAAUGUAUGGCGAGAGAUGCUUUUGAGAGAGAGUUUUGGGGAGAAAUUUGCACUUACCUUCCACUUUGGCUGGGGAGUUCCUUAUAUAGGCCCUUGGCCGCCACUGUUGCUACAGUGGCGGGAAUGGGUCUAUAGCCACUCCCCAGCAUGGGUGGCUGUUUUGGUGCAACUACUGUCCUUUUUCCUGUCCUUUUGGGAUUUGUGCAUGCUUAUUAUCCUGUUUGCCUUGUACUUGGUAAUGAUGAGGUCUGACUUUGGGGAUCUCCAAGUCCUGUAGCGGGGGCGGGUACUGUUGGCG